GACGAACGCUGGCGGCGCGCCUAACACAUGCAAGUCGAACGGAGCUUAGAGAGCUUGCUUUUUAAGCUUAGUGGCGAACGGGUGAGUAACGCGUGAGUAACCUGCCCUGGAGUGGGGGACAACAGUUGGAAACGACUGCUAAUACCGCAUAAGCCCACGGUACCGCAUGGCACUGAGGGAAAAGGAUUUAUUCGCUUUAGGAUGGACUCGCGUCCAAUUAGCUAGUUGGUGAGGUAACGGCCCACCAAGGCGACGAUUGGUAGCCGGACUGAGAGGUUGAACGGCCACAUUGGGACUGAGACACGGCCCAGACUCCUACGGGAGGCAGCAGUGGGGGGAUAUUGCACAAUGGGGGAAACCCUGAUGCAGCGACGCCGCGUGGAGGAAGAAGGUUUUCGGAUUGUAAACUCCUGUCGUUAGGGACGAUAAUGACGGUACCUAACAAGAAAGCACCGGCUAACUACGUG
RNAcentral lists this ribosomal RNA (467 nucleotides) under uncultured bacterium. Its description in RNAcentral is "bacterial SSU rRNA". It matches the Rfam family "Bacterial small subunit ribosomal RNA", at positions 28 to 507 of the family's 1533-position model. The record is from RNAcentral.